GCAGGAGGCCCUGCGACUGCUCUGUCGUGGGGCGAAGACCAAAUUCUUGGGGAUUUUUCGUAAAGGGCGCUUUGACCUUCCUUUUGUACAUAUUCUGAAAGUUGACACCUUUGAAGACCCUCUGCAGGGACCCAGAUACCCCGCCUACGAGGCUUUGGGGGGCGGAAUUUGGCUGAACAGAUAAGAAAUGUUGAUUUUUCUUUUGUUCUUUGCACUUUUUGGCAGCAGUUGAAACAGUUCUGCCCCAAACACCGACUUGCCUCACGUGUGAUGCUGCAACUUACAAAAAUUGUUUGUUAAAGUAUUCUCUCCUAAUAAGUGUAAUGUACAACAUGCACAGUCCUGGAUGAUUUUGAAAUGUUUGUUGGAAGACAUUGAUUUUUCUACCUAAAAGUAGACAUAAAUUGAUUUUAAAGUAUUGGUAUGUUUCUUGAUAAUACAAGUUUCAUUUUUUCCAACAUCAUCCGUCUUCACCCCCGGAAAGAAUGAAGCUUUCAUAAAUGAAAAAAAAGGUCAGUUAGGGCUCUGGUCGUGUUUUCAUGCUCUUUUGAAUGGAUGGUGAUCAAAUUCCUGCCAGUGCCUUUAAUGUAUUCCUACUACCCUUAAUUAGUAUGCUUACCUUAUUAAAAAAAAAUAAACAUUUUUUUCUUAUGACAACUCAGGAUGUUUUAUUUUUACUUUAAGGUUUCAAACCAUAGAGUAAAUAAAGCAAAGGCUUUUUGAAUCAGACCUACCUGGGUUCAAGGCAUGUGCUUUCCCUCUUUGUACAUUAUUAGAGUUAUUUCUUUAAAAUUAACAUCCUUCACAAAGUUUCCUCUACCAAUUUGGAAGACAGAUAUAACUUUUCCCCCACUAUCCCACUAAACAUACGGCCCUUAGGUUUUCCCUUAUGCUAAUAAAUUUUCAGAGCACUUCCCUAUUUUACAAAUGAGGAAAUUGAAGCCUAAAUGAAAUAAUUAGUUAAGGAAAUAUGAAUCCAGAGUGUCUGGGUGAAAGUCCAUUCUUUGACUACUGUUUCUACUUUUAUAUAGCCACCCAAGAAACACUUCUCUCUGCUUAUGUAUCCUUAAAAACAAUGAUAAUAAUGUUUAAUACUUAUAUAUGUAUCAUGCACCGUUUCAGCAGUUUACCUUUUUUAACUCAUUCAAUCCCACAACAACCUUAGAAGGCAGGUACCAUAAUUAUCUUCAUUUUACCAAGGAGGAAACACCGACAGAGAUGUUGAUGAAGCGUCACCCAUCCAAAAAUUCUCUGGAAGAUGAUUUUUACACACUGAGCACACUGUUCCAGGAGUGGUCUGUUGUGAGGAUUAAAUGAGAAUAUAUGCAGACUGGAAAGGAACAAGGAUGAUCCUGUGUCCCUAGUGUAUUGCACAGUGCUCAGUCCUUAGGAGCUGUUGACUUAACGUUUGUUGAAUGAAUUAUUAGUACAGCAUAGAGUGGGACUGAAAACCUUCACUUUUUUAAGACCUUGUAUUUUUAAUAAUGUAGCCUAAAAUUGAAGUUGGAGGCUCUUUUUUGGGUGAUACUACAUGCUGUUCCUUACAUUCACAAAUGUAAUCCUUUAAGAUUAAGGCUUUGGACUAUCAAGGAAAGUAGAAAACAAGGUCUCCUGAGGUACUUUUCAUGGAUGUCAAAAUAAGUUGCUUUCCUGGGCAUUAUAUGCUAGGACAGAGUGAGGGAGGUGGAGAGAGAGCCAUGGGAAAGCCUGUAUGGAUGGUCCUGGGUGACUAGAGGUAAGUGUGAAAUUCUUAGAGCUCAGGGAAAGUGGAAAGGGCUCUAGGAAAAAAGAUAGGCAUUGAAAACUGUUUCUCAUUUUAGGUAUAGGUCUAGACUGGCCAACACUAAAUAAAACAUGAGGCUGAUAUGCUACUCUUACCUGGAAUAUGUCUCCACUUCCCUUCCAUCUGUGAUCCUGCCUGUGUGCAAAAUGUUCAGUUAAGUGAAUAAGAGAGAGAGAGAAUCAGAAUUAUAAAGCAUUUUAAUCAGGAUGGAAAUCAGUAGAGCAUUGAUUAGGAGCAUGGUCUCCAGAAUCCGACAUCUGGUUUGACUCUUGGUCCUUUCUAGCUGGUGAUCUUGGAAUAUUUCCUUACUGGCCUCUGCCUCUGUUUUCUCAUCCAUGAAAUGAGUAUAUUAAUAGUACCUACUUCAAAUCAUUGUUGAUUUCAUGAGAAAAUAAAUAAAAAAUUGGUGGCUCAUAAGUCUUCAAUAAAUGUUAGCUAUUAUUACUAUGGUACUGUUUAUUCUACUGUCCACCCCCCCUACUCUGCUCCAAAUGCAGCAAUUAUAAAUUAAAAAAAAAUAUAUGCUUAUAGAAAAUAAAAAAUUAAAAAAAAACUUAAUAAAAGUAAAUAAAUAAAUAAAAUAAAUUAAAAAAGAAAGCAAAGAUACAGGUAUAUUAGAGAACAAGAUAAACAUCUCCAGGGACUAACACAGAAAUGAAACAUGCAAUUAGACUCUGGAUUCAGGAGCUGGUGGAAAUAACUGUGUAAGGGAAUUGGAGUCAUACAGUGGAUGAAACUAGGGGCUUGGCGGGGCUAGAUGAAAAGAAGACUGAGCACCUCUGCUCCUGGAUAUUGCUCUAAGAAGCUGUGGACCUGACGAGGUGGCACAGAAAUGGCUGAGCUGCCAGAUGGCUCAGAGUUGGGAACUGUAAUUUCCACACACUAUCAUGUGCUUCAAGAGCACCAAGCUUGGAGGUCAUGUGGUCUGGAAGAAGGGUGACCUAUCUCAAACCACCAGAAAAAAGGAAGGGAAAGUUUGAGCCUGCAAACAUAUUGAGGGAAAGAACAUUAUUUAGAAAAUAAGCACAACAAUCAGGAGGUAAAUUCACUCAAGAUCUAAUGGAAUUACUCAGCAAUUUCAUAGAUCUUAAAAAGGUAAAGUAGUAGCUAUUAAAAACUUACUAUGAAC
This is a long non-coding RNA of Mustela lutreola (European mink), 2912 nucleotides long. RefSeq lists it as uncharacterized. The transcript is spliced from 2 exons. The record is from RefSeq and is a predicted model, not a curated record. NCBI's taxonomy places the organism in Eukaryota, Metazoa, Chordata, Mammalia, Carnivora, Mustelidae.